Non-coding RNA from Mycena metata, 96 nucleotides. The record is from the annotation of a GenBank genome assembly. Lineage: Eukaryota; Fungi; Basidiomycota; Agaricomycetes; Agaricales; Mycenaceae.
GCUGCCGUGGACUGCGGUCGGUCGUCCUCCACUGAUUAUCGAUCGCCCUGGCGAGUGUUUAUGAGGAAAGCGUGGGUUCGAUUCCCACCGGCAGCA